CUGGCGGAUGCUUUACACAUGCAAGUCGAACGGCAGCACGGGAGCUUGCUCCUGGUGGCGAGUGGCGAACGGGUGAGUAAUGCGUCGGAACGUACCGAGUAAUGGGGGAUAACGCACCGAAAGGUGUGCUAAUACCGCAUACGCCCCGAGGGGGAAAGCAGGGGAUCGUAAGACCUUGCGUUAUUCGAGCGGCCGACGUCUGAUUAGCUAGUUGGUGGGGUAAAGGCCUACCAAGGCGACGAUCAGUAGCGGGUCUGAGAGGAUGAUCCGCCACACUGGGACUGAGACACGGCCCAGACUCCUACGGGAGGCAGCAGUGGGGAAUUUUGGACAAUGGGGGAAACCCUGAUCCAGCCAUUCCGCGUGAGUGAAGAAGGCCUUCGGGUUGUAAAGCUCUUUCAGCUGGAACGAAACGGUACGCUCUAACAUAGCGUGCUAAUGACGGUACCAGCAGAAGAAGCACCGGCUAACUACGUGCCAGCAGCCGCGGUAAUACGUAGGGUGCGAGCGUUAAUCGGAAUUACUGGGCGUAAAGCGUGCGCAGGCGGAUUGUUAAGCAAGAUGUGAAAUCCCCGGGCUUAACCUGGGAAUGGCAUUUUGAACUGGCAGUCUAGAGUGUGUCA
RNAcentral lists this ribosomal RNA (623 nucleotides) under uncultured Nitrosospira sp. RNAcentral describes it as "bacterial SSU rRNA". It matches the Rfam family "Bacterial small subunit ribosomal RNA", at positions 36 to 653 of the family's 1533-position model. The record is from RNAcentral. Lineage: Bacteria; Pseudomonadati; Pseudomonadota; Betaproteobacteria; Nitrosomonadales; Nitrosomonadaceae.